CUGAAAUGAUAGACACAAGUGAUUGUUGGAUUAGAGAAAAAAAAUAGAGAGGAUACGUAGCAGUUUAAGCAUAAGAAUCCAUCAGCUAAAAAUGAAUAACCUCUAUAGCUUGACGUCUGACUGUUUUGAUAGGAUCAUCGUCGAAGUUCGUCGCGAAGUUCGUCGGUCCGUAAUUACUUUUGCUCUGCAAGACACACAGAUGACACAUAGUUGGAAAGAGUGACAGCAGUGUAGCUGGAUAUGUGACUCGUGGGCACUCUUCGAAGUGGAGGCAAUUUGUGUCAUUGCAGAUGGUGGUUGGUGAGGAAUUCACUGCAGUCAUUCGGUACCACUCUCUACUGGGCGAUGCUAAGGAUAAUAGGAAGUAAUGAGCUUUGGAAAUUAUAAUUUUCCGCUUUGAAAAGUAAAGAAAUUGUAAUAUCUUCACGACUCUCAGUAGUUGUUGAAUUUUCUAAUCAGAUUCUUGUUUCCAAGAUUAGAAUACAGAAAAACACUGCCUUGUCA
Athalia rosae (coleseed sawfly) is the source of this 504-nucleotide long non-coding RNA. RefSeq lists it as uncharacterized. The transcript is spliced from 2 exons. Lineage: Eukaryota; Metazoa; Arthropoda; Insecta; Hymenoptera; Athaliidae. The record is from RefSeq and is a predicted model, not a curated record.